RNAcentral lists this long non-coding RNA (283 nucleotides) under Citrus maxima (pomelo). RNAcentral's name for it is "long non-coding RNA (CMAX_LNC001955)". Lineage: Eukaryota; Viridiplantae; Streptophyta; Magnoliopsida; Sapindales; Rutaceae. The record is from RNAcentral.
GGAGAGCCCUUGCACUUACAAUAUUGAGUGCAAGGGUUCGAGCCUCCAUAAAAGCAUUUAUGGGGGUUAUUUACAAUCCUCCUUCAAUUAUCAAAUAAUUGAGUGGAGCCAGUCUAUUCCUCACGAAAUAUGAGUGGAGUGGACAACCCUCGAAUAUUUGAGAGGGUUUAAAAGAAUUUGGGCAGCGCUUCAGAGGAGUACAUGCCACAACGAAGAUCCCAAUUGUAGAGUCUGUUUGUAAAUAUUAAUUAUAAUAUCUGAUGUAAUAUCAGUAACAAUCCUG